GACGAACCGUGCGACCGUUGUUCGGAUUCACUGGGCUUAAAGGGCGCGUAGGCGGGUGGUCAAGUCAGGGGUGAAAGCCCACGGCCCAACCGUGGAAGUGCCUUUGAUACUGACUGUCUUGAGGGAGGUAGGGGCAUGCGGAACUUCCGGUGGAGCGGUGAAAUGCGUAGAUAUCGGAAGGAACGCCGGUGGCGAAAGCGGCGUGCUGGACCUCUUCUGACGCUGAGGCGCGAAAGCCAGGGGAGCAAACGGG
This 253-nucleotide ribosomal RNA is filed under the name uncultured bacterium. RNAcentral's name for it is "partial 16S ribosomal RNA". It matches the Rfam family "Bacterial small subunit ribosomal RNA", at positions 524 to 776 of the family's 1533-position model. The record is from RNAcentral.